RNAcentral lists this long non-coding RNA (734 nucleotides) under Neogale vison (American mink). RNAcentral describes it as "Neovison vison (American mink) lncRNA (ENSNVIG00000015796.1)". Lineage: Eukaryota; Metazoa; Chordata; Mammalia; Carnivora; Mustelidae. The record is from RNAcentral.
GGGCGCUCCCGCGCGCGCCCUCCCGGGUGGGGCCCACAGCCGCAGGAGCCGCAGAGGGCGGCGCUCCCGCACAGGGUGGUUCUACGCCCCCGCGGCUCCCGGCUCCCCCACCAGCCGCCUGGCUUCGCGGGGCUCCGCGGGGCGCCGUCUGGCUGCCGGAGCGGGCCUUUCCUGCGAAGAAGGUUGUGCGUUCAUCGGACGCGCCCCUGCUGGGGAGGUGCCUCCCGCAGCGCACGAACCGGAGGGCGGGCAGGGCUGGGCUUUGCCUGCGCCCGGGGGCGGGCGGCGCUGGGACGGCGGAAGGCCCCUGCCCUCCCGCGGGUUUGGGAUUCCGGGCCCCCUGAGCCUGUUCCCUGUCGGAGACGGAAGGGGCCUCGGAGAUCCCACCCAACCCCCGCCCCUCUUAUCCCAGACUGGGGAAAUGGACGCCCGGAGGGCGGAACUGCAGUAUAAAAAUUGACUGUGGAGGAAAGAACCUAACAGACCAGUAACAAUGGAAGAAAUUGAGAAAGUUAUCAAAAAGCUACCAUCCCCCAAAACACCAGGCCCAGAUGGUGUUACAGGUGAAGUCCUUUAACUUGAAGGAAAAGGUAAUUUUGAUAAGGUUUAAAUUUUACACCCGCCUUGGGAAGGAAAAGUGACAGAUUGUUUUUACAGAGCUAAUGGAACAUGGACGCCUGAACUUGGUAUGAGAUAGUAAUAAAAUUAAAAAUUUGGUAUGUUCUAGUGAUGUG